RNAcentral lists this ribosomal RNA (497 nucleotides) under uncultured bacterium. RNAcentral's name for it is "partial 16S ribosomal RNA". It matches the Rfam family "Bacterial small subunit ribosomal RNA", at positions 28 to 507 of the family's 1533-position model. The record is from RNAcentral.
GAUGAACGCUGGCGGCGUGCCUAAUACAUGCAAGUCGAGCGAACGGACGAGAAGCUUGCUUCUCUGAUGUUAGCGGCGGACGGGUGAGUAACACGUGGAUAACCUACCUAUAAGACUGGGAUAACUUCGGGAAACCGGAGCUAAUACCGGAUGAUAUUUUGAACCGCAUGGUUCAAAAGUGAAAGACGGUCUUGCUGUCACUUAUAGAUGGAUCCGCGCUGCAUUAGCUAGUUGGUAAGGUAACGGCUUACCAAGGCAACGAUGCAUAGCCGACCUGAGAGGGUGAUCGGCCAGACUGGAACUGAGACACGGUCCAGACUCCUACGGGAGGCAGCAGUAGGGAAUCUUCCGCAAUGGGCGAAAGCCUGACGGAGCAACGCCGCGUGAGUGAUGAAGGUCUUCGGAUCGUAAAGCUCUGUUAUUAGGGAAGAACAUAUGUGUAAGUAACUGGGCACAUCUUGACGGUACCUAAUCAGAAAGCCACGGCUAACUACGUG